UACGGGGGGGAGCAAGCGUUGUUCGGAUUUACUGGGCGUAAAGGGCUUGUAGGCGGCCAACUAAGUCCGACGUGAAAUCCCCAGGCUUAACCUGGGAACUGCGUCGGAUACUGGAUGGCUUGAAUUCGGGAGAGGGAUGCAGAAUUCCAGGUGUAGCGGUGAAAAUGCGUAGAUAUCUGGAGGGAUACCGGUGGCGAAGGCGGCAUCCUGGACCGACAUUGACGCUGAGGAGCGAAAGCCAGGGGAGCAAACGGG
Molecule: ribosomal RNA, 255 nt
Filed under: uncultured bacterium
Lineage: Bacteria
Description: partial 16S ribosomal RNA
Rfam family: Bacterial small subunit ribosomal RNA
Source: RNAcentral